RNAcentral lists this ribosomal RNA (2388 nucleotides) under Apherusa jurinei. Its description in RNAcentral is "18S ribosomal RNA". It matches the Rfam family "Eukaryotic small subunit ribosomal RNA". The record is from RNAcentral. Lineage: Eukaryota; Metazoa; Arthropoda; Malacostraca; Amphipoda; Calliopiidae.
CCUUCUGGUUGAUCCUGCCAGUAGUCAUAUGCUUGUUUCAAAGACUAAGCCAUGCAUGUCUAAGUCCAAGCUGGGCGUUGUGGGUGCAAGCUUACUCGCUCGGCGAAACCGCGGACGGCUCAUUAAAUCAGUCGUGGUCCAAAUGGGCCAGUGUUAUCUUACUUGGAUAACUGUGGUAAUUCCAGAGCUAAUACAUGCAACUGAAGGUUCGAUCGGUAAGGGGCAACUCUUGCUGUGACGACUGCUUUUAUUAGACCAAACCGCUCUGAGCUUCGGCUCUUAGACUCGUGUUAUGGUGACUCUGAAUAACACCACUUGACAAGCGCACGUAUCCACUCGUUGGGACGGCGCUGCCACUUUCGAGUGUCUGCCUUAUCAGCUAUGUAUCGUUCGUUAUGUGCGACCGAUGGCUUUGACGGGUAACGGGGAAUCAGAGUUCGAUUCCGGAGAGGCAGCCUGAGAAACGGCUACCACGUCCAAGGACGGCAGCAGGCACGCAAAUUACCCAAUCCCAGCUUCUGGGGGAGGUAGUGACGAAAUCUAACGAUGCGGGCGCUCCUUCUGGAGCCCCGCAAUCGGAAUGAGCAUUCUCUUUCUAAACACCCUGUUGAGAACCUACUGAAGGGCAAGUCUGGUGCCAGCAGCCGCGGUAAUUUCCAGCUUCAGCAGCAUAUACUAAUGUUGCUGCGGUUAAAAGGCUCGCAGUUGAAUGUCAGUAUCGAGCGUAGCGUGGUGGACGUUGGGGUUUGUUGGGAGUAGGCUGAUGGAUCUCUGUCUCUGAUGGAGUGAAGUUGACUGAUGCCCAGCAAGUUUAAGCCCCCGUCCGUGUCAAGCCUCCUCGCUCGUGUACAAAGUGGAAGUUUCUGUUACAGAGAGUAGAGUCUCACUCAUGUGCUUUGCGCGUGUGUGUUGUACGAUGUUCUCUUGAGCUUCCGAAGGCACCUUGAGUAAAUCAGAGUGCUCAAAGCAGUCGUAAGGAGCGUUCCGGUUCGGCCGUGCGCUCCGUGAUGAAUGUCAUUGCGACAGACGGUCUUGGUUUUGCAUGGUAUGUCGAAAGACGCCGCCGCUGUUGGUAACGAGUCUGGUGCGGGGUUGUGUCGUCUCUGCCUUCAACACUCCUUGUGUGUGUUUGAAGUGUGGGGGCUGCUCGGCCAUUUACAAAGACCAACAGUUGCGGAAUGAUUAAGAGGGACGGUCGAGGGCAUUAGUAUUGCGAGGCGAGAGGUGAAAUUCUAUGACCCCCGCAAGACUUCCUGAAGCGAAAGCGUCUGCCAAGGACGUUUUCAUUAAUCAUGAACGAAAGUUAGAGGAUCGAAGGCGAUCAGAUACCGCCCUAGUUCUAACCCUAAACGAUGCCAACCAUCAAUCCGCGCGUAGCACCCUUUCUAACGGGCUCGGCGGGCAGCUCCCCUCUCACGGGAAACCAGAGUCUCUGGGUUCCGGGGGGAGUCUGGUUGCAAAGCUGAAACUUAAAGGAAUUGACGGAAAGGCACCACCAGGCGUGGAGCCUGCGGCUUAAUUUGACUCAACACGGGCCAUCUCACCAGGCCAGCACUCUUGUAUGAUUGACAGAUUGAGAGUUCUUUCUCGAUUCAGUGGAUGGUGGUGCAUGGCCGUUCUUAGUUGGUGGAGUGAUCUGUCUGGUUAAUUCCGAUAACGAACGAGACUCUCCCCUGCUAACUAGUCGGUUGGAUCUUGAUUCGAGAGUUGCCGAGGUGUGCUUGUGUAAGGGGCGUGUGUGCGCGGUGAGGUGUUGAGUUCUCGAUCACUUUGCGUGUGAGAGACUCUCAUUGAUCUGUGUGCUUGUUUCCUGCCUUCAUACUAGCUGGCACUCCAAGUCCACCGCUUGCCCGGCUGCGUGUGGAUGCCUUUCGGGGUGUUUAUGCGUGGUGGGUAAAACUCUUCUUAGAGGGAUUGACGGUUCUGAAGCCGUAAGAGACUGAGAGCAAUAACAGGUCUGUGAUGCCCUUAGAUGUUCUGGGCCGCACGCGCGCUACAAUGCCGGGCACAGCAGGUGUUUGUCCUUCUCCGAGAGGAGUGGGUAACCCUCUGAAAGCCCUUGAAACUUUAUCGGUGUCGCGUGUGUGUGUUUACACAGGCACGUGACCUAUUGGCUUGCUUGGGCCUGGGGCUUGCAAUUCUUUCCCACAAACGAGGAAUGCCUAGUAGCGGCGGAUCACUGAGUUCGCUGUGACUCAGUCCCUGCCCUUUGUACACACCGCCCGUCGCUACUACCGAUUGGGUGUACAGUGAGAUCUUUGGACUGGCGAGCCUUGCGCUUCUCACGGGGCGCAAGUGUGUACGACGGAAAGAGGCUCGAACUGGUGCACUUAGAGGAAGUAAAAGUCGUAACAAGGUUUCCGUAGUGAACCUGCGGAAGGAUCAUUA